CAGUAGCCGCGGUAAAACGAAGGGGGCUAGCGUUGUUCGGAUUUACUGGGCGUAAAGCGCACGUAGGCGGACUUUUAAGUCAGGGGUGAAAUCCCGGGGCUCAACCCCGGAACUGCCUUUGAUACUGGAAGUCUUGAGUAUGGUAGAGGUGAGUGGAAUUCCGAGUGUAGAGGUGAAAUUCGUAGAUAUUCGGAGGAACACCAGUGGCGAAGGCGGCUCACUGGACCAUUACUGACGCUGAGGUGCGAAAGCGUGGGGAGCAAACAGGAUUAGAUACCCCAGUAGUCCCUGUCUCUUAUAA
RNAcentral lists this ribosomal RNA (301 nucleotides) under uncultured bacterium. RNAcentral describes it as "partial 16S ribosomal RNA". It matches the Rfam family "Bacterial small subunit ribosomal RNA", at positions 509 to 809 of the family's 1533-position model. The record is from RNAcentral.